RNAcentral lists this ribosomal RNA (253 nucleotides) under uncultured bacterium. Its description in RNAcentral is "partial 16S ribosomal RNA". It matches the Rfam family "Bacterial small subunit ribosomal RNA", at positions 524 to 776 of the family's 1533-position model. The record is from RNAcentral.
UACGUAGGGUGCAAGCGUUGUCCGGAAUUAUUGGGCGUAAAGAGCUCGUAGGCGGUUUGUCGCGUCUGCUGUGAAAACUCGGGGCUUAACUCCGGGCCUGCAGUGGGUACGGGCAGACUAGAGUGCGGUAGGGGAGACUGGAAUUCCUGGUGUAGCGGUGAAAUGCGCAGAUAUCAGGAGGAACACCGGUGGCGAAGGCAGCUCGCUGGGACGUUACUGACGCUGAGACGCGAAAGCGUGGGGAGCGAUCCGG